UAAUUCGGCCGUAUCACCUUGUUAAUGCCAGUCUGUUCAGAUCUCAGAAGCUAAGCAGGGUUGGUCCUGGUUAGUACUUGGAUAGGAGACCGUCGUGAACACCCGGUGCCACAAUGG
Molecule: ribosomal RNA, 117 nt
Filed under: Periophthalmus magnuspinnatus
Lineage: Eukaryota; Metazoa; Chordata; Actinopteri; Gobiiformes; Gobiidae
Source: RNAcentral